Paramuricea clavata is the source of this 292-nucleotide non-coding RNA. The record is from the annotation of a GenBank genome assembly. NCBI's taxonomy places the organism in Eukaryota, Metazoa, Cnidaria, Anthozoa, Malacalcyonacea, Plexauridae.
AUUUAAUUUGAUUGCAAAUGGCUUGUGGACAUAGCCAUUUUCUUCCCAGAAAUGGCUAAUACCUCGGGGGGAUGGGCACUGCUGGAAUUGACUGAUACGUAAUUAACAAUCGCCAUUUUGAUUGGUUGUUAUUUUUGUGCAUCCCAAUCACUGUCCACUUUUUAUUGACUUCAGUAACAGGCUUACCCUGUGGGCAAAGUCCUCUCGUAUUUCUUCUCAGCACGAUAGAGACUCUGCAGAACUUGUGUAUAUUCUUUGUGGAGCCGACAAUCCAAAAACUUGGAUAAUUAUG